Molecule: ribosomal RNA, 301 nt
Filed under: uncultured bacterium
Lineage: Bacteria
Description: partial 16S ribosomal RNA
Rfam family: Bacterial small subunit ribosomal RNA
Source: RNAcentral
CAGUAGCCGGGUAAUACGGAGGGGGCUAGCGUUGUUCGGAAUUACUGGGCGUAAAGCGCACGUAGGCGGCUUGGUAAGUUAGAGGUGAAAGCCUGGAGCUCAACUCCAGAAUUGCCUUUAAGACUGCCGAGCUAGCAGGUGAGAGAGGUAAGUGGAAUUCCGAGUGUAGAGGUGAAAUUCGUAGAUAUUCGGAAGAACACCAGCGGCGAAGGCGGCUUACUGGCUCAUACUGGACGCUGAGGUGCGAAAGCGUGGGGAGCAAACAGGAUUAGAUACCCCAGUAGUCCCUGUCUCUUAUACA